This 253-nucleotide ribosomal RNA is filed under the name uncultured bacterium. Its description in RNAcentral is "partial 16S ribosomal RNA". It matches the Rfam family "Bacterial small subunit ribosomal RNA", at positions 524 to 776 of the family's 1533-position model. The record is from RNAcentral.
UACGAAGGGGGCUAGCGUUGCUCGGAAUCACUGGGCGUAAAGGGUGCGUAGGCGGGUCUUUAAGUCAGGGGUGAAAUCCUGGAGCUCAACUCCAGAACUGCCUUUGAUACUGAAGAUCUUGAGUUCGGGAGAGGUGAGUGGAACUGCGAGUGUAGAGGUGAAAUUCGUAGAUAUUCGCAAGAACACCAGUGGCGAAGGCGGCUCACUGGCCCGAUACUGACGCUGAGAUACGAAAGCGUGGGGAGCAAACAGG